GAUGAACGCUGGCGGCGUGCCUAAUACAUGCAAGUCGAGCGAACAGACGAGGAGCUUGCUCCUCUGACGUUAGCGGCGGACGGGUGAGUAACACGUGGAUAACCUACCUAUAAGACUGGGAUAACUUCGGGAAACCGGAGCUAAUACCGGAUAAUAUAUUGAACCGCAUGGUUCAAUAGUGAAAGACGGUUUUGCUGUCACUUAUAGAUGGAUCCGCGCCGCAUUAGCUAGUUGGUAAGGUAACAGCUUACCAAGGCAACGAUGCGUAGCCGACCUGAGAGGGUGAUCGGCCACACUGGAACUGAGACACGGUCCAGACUCCUACGGGAGGCAGCAGUAGGGAAUCUGCCGCAAAGGGCGAAAGCCUGACGGAGCAACGCCGCGUGAGUGAUGAAGGUCUUCGGAUCGUAAAACUCUGUUAUUAGGGAAGAACAAAUGUGUAAGUAACUAUGCACGUCUUGACGGUACCUAAUCAGAAAGCCACGGCUAACUACGUG
RNAcentral lists this ribosomal RNA (497 nucleotides) under uncultured bacterium. RNAcentral's name for it is "partial 16S ribosomal RNA". It matches the Rfam family "Bacterial small subunit ribosomal RNA", at positions 28 to 507 of the family's 1533-position model. The record is from RNAcentral.